Pogoniulus pusillus (Red-fronted tinkerbird) is the source of this 450-nucleotide long non-coding RNA. RefSeq lists it as uncharacterized. NCBI's taxonomy places the organism in Eukaryota, Metazoa, Chordata, Aves, Piciformes, Lybiidae. The transcript is spliced from 3 exons. The record is from RefSeq and is a predicted model, not a curated record.
UUGCUUUCAAUUCUGGAGAAGCAAGCAACUAUUGAUGCUCUAACCUUUUUCCCCCCCCCUAGUUUAGAUUUUAUUACAACCCCAUUCUUUCUGGAAAGGUUUUUGAUUCAGAUUUUGCAGUAAUGCUGUGUGGGGCUUUUUACUUUUUAUUGUGCACUUACUUGUGGGCAGUAAGGUAAAUCUUACUUCCUGACAAAGGAUAAACAAGAUAGGGGGGGAAAAAAACUGGAUUUUCACUGCUGGUAGGAAGAAAAGUGAUGCAACAUCGUCGCUUUUCAGAGCAGUGAUGGAUGCUCAUCCUGUGAGAACAUGUAGAAGUGGUUCUGGAAACUUUGGCUGUGGGAGGACUCUUCUAAGCGAGUCUUCUCAGAGAAACGUUUCAGGACCUCUAGCCCUGGCUCCCCUCAGCAGACCAGACUUCUGACGUGGCCUCACUCCGUUGGAUCCCCU